Molecule: ribosomal RNA, 433 nt
Filed under: uncultured bacterium
Lineage: Bacteria
Description: partial 16S ribosomal RNA
Rfam family: Bacterial small subunit ribosomal RNA
Source: RNAcentral
AACGAACGCUGGCGGCAUGCCUAACACAUGCAAGUCGAACGAUGCCUUCGGGCAUAGUGGCGCACGGGUGAGUAACGCGUGGGAACCUGCCCUGUGGUACGGAAUAACUCCGGGAAACUGGAGCUAAUACCGUAUGUGUCCCCUGGGACAAAGAUUUAUCGCCACGGGAUGGGCCCGCGUAGGACUAGCUUGUUGGUGGGGUAACGGCCUACCAAGGCUACGAUCCUUAGCUGGUCUGAGAGGAUGAUCAGCCACACUGGGACUGAGACACGGCCCAGACUCCUACGGGAGGCAGCAGUGGGGAAUAUUGGACAAUGGGCGCAAGCCUGAUCCAGCAAUGCCGCGUGAGUGAUGAAGGCCUUCGGGUUGUAAAGCUCUUUCGCACGCGACGAUGAUGACGGUAGCGUGAGAAGAAGCCCCGGCUAACUUCGUG